GAGCUCACGGCCGGCCGGGCGGGCUGCGCGUCAGGCCCGCUGCGCUGGGGGCCCUGCAGCCCCGAGAGCGGAGGUGCAGGCAGGUUAGGACCCUGGCUAGAGCUCAGGGCCGCCCGACCCGGACACCCUGCCCUUCUUCAGCGACCGAGAGAAGGGCCGCCCUCUCGGCUUCCUGAGGCGUGGGAAACUGGGUGAUGGUUAUAGAAAUGACAGAAGGCAGGUCUGUCUCUCAAGGUGGGACGUGUCAGGAGGCAGGCUGUCGCCGAUAGACAUGCCGCCUGCCUUUUUCCCUGCAGAGUGUGCCCUCGUGCCCAGUGAGUGCCCAGUUGGCCAGGUUCAAGACCAAGGAGAGGGAAACAUGGCAGCAAGGCGGAUGGUACAGGACUCUUUGGACACAGUAUUACAGGAGAAAUGUAAACGGUAUGGGGAUUCUGAGGCUGUCGGUGAAGCUCUCCAGCUCAAAGCUCAAGAUCUCUUAAGGACAGGCUCAAGAGCCAGAGCAGAUGUCUGUGAGGAUGUUCGUGGUGACAGCAGGUACUCUGACAGUGGACCUGGAGUGUACUCACUAAACUUGGGGAGAGAGGGCCUGAGAGCUGACAUGUUUGCGGGACCCUCCUUCAGAUCCAGCAAUCAGUCCAUCAGUGAGGACAGCUAUCUUCGCAAAGAAUGUGGCCGGGAUCUGGAAGCAACCCACACUGACUCCCGGGACCAGAGUUUUGGCCACCGGAAACUGGGACAUUUUCCUUCUCGGGACUGGAAGCUUAUGCUCCGUGGCUCUUGGGAGCAAGACUUGGGCCACUCAGUUUCUCAAGAAUCCUCCUGGUCACAAGAGUAUGGUUUUGGGUCUUCAGUGUUGGGGGACUUGGCCUCCUCUAGGCGAUUGGAGAAGGAGAGUCGAGAUUAUGACCUGGACCAUCAUGGGGAUGUGGACUCUGUGUCUAGAGGCAGUGCGCAAGUCCUGGCCAGAGGCUGGUCUCUAAACAUGGGUGACCAGGAAGGCACUCUCCUAGGAAAGGACACUCAGGGCCUGCUCACAGCAAAGGGUGUCGGGAAGCUUAUCACACUGAAAAGUAUGACCACAAAGAAAAUGCCUGUUGUUGGUCGUAUUACUUCCAAAACUCAGGGCACUAACCAAAUCCAAAAAGCCACUCCAAGUCCUGAUGUGACCCUCGGGACAAACCCAGGGCUGGAUGAGAUCCAGUUCGCUGCUCUGAAGACACCCUUGGGGCUGGACCUGAGGACCCUUGGCUUCCCCAGAAGGAAGCUGGGCUUGGAUGCCAUGGACAAAGCAGAUGUGUUUUCAAGGUUUGGCAUAGAGAUCAUCAAGUGGGCUGGGUUCCACACCGUCAAGGAUGACCUCAAGUUCUCCCAACUUUUCCAGACUCUUUUUGAACUGGAAACUGAGACCUGUGCCAAGAUGUUGGCCUCCUUCAAAUGCUCCUUAAAACCGGAGCACAGAGAUUUCUGCUUUUUUACUAUCAAGUUUUUAAAGCACUCUGCUCUGAAAACACCCCGAGUUGAUAAUGAGUUUUUAAACAUGCUUUUAGACAAAGGUGCUGUGAAGACCAAAAACUGUUUCUUUGAGAUCAUCAAGCCCUUUGACAAGUACAUCAUGCGGCUCCAAGACAGGCUGCUGAAGGGUGUCACACCCCUGCUCAUGGCCUGUAAUGCCUAUGAGCUGAGUGUCAAGAUGAAGACCCUCACUAGCCCUCUGGACCUGGCCGUGGCCCUGGAGACCACUAACUCCUUGUGUAGGAAGUCCCUGGCACUCUUAGGCCAGACCUUCUCCUUGGCCUCCUCCUUCAGGCAGGAGAAGAUCCUAGAGGCUGUGGGCCUCCAGGACAUCGCUCCAUCUCCUGCUUCCUUCCCAAACUUUGAGGACUCCACUUUGUUUGGAAGAGAAUACAUAGACCACCUGAAGGCCUGGCUCACGGCCAGCGGCUAUCCCCUCCAGGUCAGGAGGGCUGUGCCUGCAGAGCCCCGAGAGCAGAGAGCCACAUCUCAGCCCUGGGCUGCAAGCACUGCGAACCAAGCAGUCCCCCAGCGGGCAGAUCACAGGGUGGUGGACACCAUUGACCAGCUUGUCAUGCGUGUCAUCCAAGGCAGGCUGUCUCCCAGAGAGAGAACACUACUCCUGCAGGACCCUGCUUACUGGUUUCUGUCUGAUGAGAGCAGCCUGGAGUAUAAGUACUACAAGCUGAAGUUGGCAGAGUCACAGCGGCUGACCCACAGCUGGCCCAUCGUGGAACGGAGGCCAACGCCUGCACAGUGCGCUGUGCGUGCCAUGCUGUAUGCACAAGCUGUGCGCAGCCUCAAGCGCAGACUCCUCCCAUGGCAGCGCAGGCGACUGCUUCGCUCCCAGGGUCCUCGAGGCUUGAAGCCCAAGAAAGCUGCCACUGCCCAGCACACAUCCCUGUCCUCAGGCGCUCGGCAGAGGCACCAUGGCCGCCAGGCAGUAGGCUCCUUGCAGGUGAAGCCCCCACCACGGGACUCAAGUGAUGCUGCCCAGGACUGCCUACCAGAGCCUGCCAAACCCCGCCCUCAGCCCCCCAGCCCUGGAGCCUUGGGCCCGUCUCGGCCAAUAGGGGAUGACUUGGAAGCCCUGCAGGCCUCUUCUCCCUGCCCCUCUGCUGAUGAUCCAAAGACCAUGGAGACGGCUGAGAAGCUGGCCAGACUGGUGGCUCAGGUGGGCCCCGAGAUCGAGCAGUUCAGCAUAGAGAGCAGCACCGACGACCCUGACCUGUGGUUCCUGCAUGACCAGAGCAGCUCAGCUUUCAAGUUCUACCGAGAGAAGGUGCUGGAACUGUGCCCAUCCAUCUCCUUCCAGUCCUCUGGUGAGGCAGGGGACUCAGUGCAGAGCCCCACAGCCCGAAAGGAGGGUGACAGUGAACCAGAGGAGGGGCAUCCCCAGCAGGAGGCUACACUGGAGGGCCCUGAGGUGCUGCCUGAGGAGGAGGACGAGGAGGAGGACGAGGAGGACGAGGAGGAGGAGGGCAGAGAGGAGACCUGUACCCUCAGACCACAGGCAGGAGCUGCCAAAUGUCCAGGCUCCGAGGGCAGUUCCCCCACUGACAGCAUCCCUGGAGAGGGGUCCAGGGAGGACCAGGCCGGCACCCCUGGCCUGUCACAGGCCUCCUCCGGCAGCUGCUUCCCCAGGAAGAGAGUCAGCAGCAAGUCGCUGAAAGUUGGCAUGAUCCCUGCUCCCAAGAGGGUGUGUCUCAUCCAGGAGUCAAAGGUCCAUGAACCAGUUCGAAUCGCUUACGACAGGCCUCGGGGGCGUCCCAUAGCCAAAAAGAAGAAACCCAAGGACCUGGAGUUUGCCCAGCAGAAGCUGACAGACAAGAACCUAGGCUUCCAGAUGUUGCAGAAGAUGGGCUGGAAGGAAGGCCACGGCCUGGGCUCCCUCGGAAAGGGCAUCCGCGAGCCUGUCAGCGUGGGGACACUCUCAGAAGGAGAGGGCCUGGGGGCUGACGGGCCAGAGCAGAGAGAAGACACGUUUGACGUCUUCCGCCAGCGCAUGAUGCAGAUGUACAGACACAAGCGGGCCAGCAAAUAGAUCAGAGCCACUGGCGACAGAGAUAAGCCUUGAAGCAGCCUUGCCCUUCCCGUCACCCUGCCCCGGACGCCUGCAGCCUAAGCCUCGUUCCAGGGUCAUUUCCACAAGGGCCAUGGAUUCCAAAUGCUAUGCUGGCCUGGCCUGCUGUGGCUCUGGCGUGCUCCUGUUCCUGGAAGUACUUGGUGAAGGUUGGUUCUGGUCCCUGGUAAAACGCAGAACACUGGUGAUGUCACACCUGGACGUUGUGUUUGUGAGGAUCUGAGAUGUCAUGGUGUUGUCGUGUCAAGUGCUGAGAAUAAAUGAGGAGCAGACCCGC
This is an RNA transcript of Mesocricetus auratus (golden hamster), 3872 nucleotides long. It is a transcript of the gene named SURP and G-patch domain containing 2, with no coding region annotated. The transcript is spliced from 12 exons. The record is from RefSeq and is a predicted model, not a curated record. NCBI's taxonomy places the organism in Eukaryota, Metazoa, Chordata, Mammalia, Rodentia, Cricetidae.